GUGCCAGCAGCCGCGGUAAUACGUAGGUGGCAAGCGUUGUCCGGAUUUAUUGGGCGUAAAGCGAGCGCAGGCGGUUUCUUAAGUCUGAUGUGAAAGCCCCCGGCUCAACCGGGGAGGGUCAUUGGAAACUGGGAGACUUGAGUGCAGAAGAGGAGAGUGGAAUUCCAUAUGUAGCGGUGGAAUGCGUAGAUAUAUGGAGGAACACCAGUGGCGAAGGCGGCUCUCUGGUCUGUAACUGACGCUGAGGCUCGAAAGCGUGGGGAGCAACAGGAUUAGAUACCCUGGUAGUCC
Molecule: ribosomal RNA, 291 nt
Filed under: uncultured microorganism
Description: partial 16S ribosomal RNA
Rfam family: Bacterial small subunit ribosomal RNA
Source: RNAcentral